This is a non-coding RNA of Chelonoidis abingdonii (Abingdon island giant tortoise), 120 nucleotides long. Lineage: Eukaryota; Metazoa; Chordata; Testudines; Testudinidae. The record is from RefSeq and is a predicted model, not a curated record.
CACCUGCUCUGUUCCACAAUAUAUUUUCAGGCUCCCCUACUAGUUAACACAACAGUCAGUGAUCUCAGCUCAGUAAUUUUAGCUCUCUUAGUGAUUUCAGCUUGUAGUAGGGGAGCCCCA